AGGACGAACGCUGGCGGCGUGCUUAACACAUGCAAGUUGAACGGACGGAUAUUGAAGCGACUUUCGGAGUGGUGGAUAUAUUGUUUAGUAGCGGACGGGUGAGUAAUGCAUGAGAACCUGCCCUUCAGAGGGGGACAACAGUUGGAAACGGCUGCUAAUACCCCCAUAUGCCGAGAGGUGAAAGGAGCGAUCCGCUGAAAGGAGUGGCUCAUGUCCUAUCAGCUAGUUGGUGAGGUAAGUGCUCACCAAGGCGAUGACGGGUAGCCGGCCUGAGAGGGCGACCGGCCACACUGGAACUGAGAUACGGUCCAGACUCCUACGGGAGGCAGCAGUGGGGAAUAUUGGGCAAUGGGCGGGAAAGCCUGACCCAGCGACGCCGCGUGAGGGAAGAAGGCCUUUGGGUCGUAAACCUCUGUUGUAUGGGAAGAAGGAAGUGACGGUACCAUACGAGGAAGUCCCGGCUAACUACGUGCCAGCCGCAGC
Molecule: ribosomal RNA, 483 nt
Filed under: uncultured bacterium
Lineage: Bacteria
Description: bacterial SSU rRNA
Rfam family: Bacterial small subunit ribosomal RNA
Source: RNAcentral